This 253-nucleotide ribosomal RNA is filed under the name uncultured bacterium. Its description in RNAcentral is "partial 16S ribosomal RNA". It matches the Rfam family "Bacterial small subunit ribosomal RNA", at positions 524 to 776 of the family's 1533-position model. The record is from RNAcentral.
UACGAAGGGAGCUAGCGUUACUCGGAAUCACUGGGCGUAAAGCGCAUGUAGGCGGAAUGCUAAGUCAGGGGUGAAAUCCCGGGGCUCAACCCCGGAAUUGCCUUUGAAACUGACAUUCUUGAGUAUGACAGAGGAUGGUGGAAUUUCCAGUGUAGAGGUGAAAUUCGUAGAUAUUGGAAAGAACACCGGUGGCGAAGGCGACCAUCUGGGUCAUAACUGACGCUGAGAUGCGAAAGCGUGGGGAGCGAACGGG